UACGGGGGGAGCAAGCGUUGUUCGGAUUUACUGGGCGUAAAGGGCGCGUAGGCGGCCUCUGCAAGUCGACUGUGAAAUCUCCGGGCUUAACCCGGAACGGUCAGCCGAUACUGCAGGGCUAGAGUGCAGAAGGGGCAACUGGAAUUCUCGGUGUAGCGGUGAAAUGCGUAGAUAUCGAGCGGAACACCAGUGGCGAAGGCGAGUUCCUGGACAAGACCUGACGCUGAGGCACGAAAGCCAGGGGAGCAAACAGG
This 254-nucleotide ribosomal RNA is filed under the name uncultured prokaryote. Its description in RNAcentral is "partial 16S ribosomal RNA". It matches the Rfam family "Bacterial small subunit ribosomal RNA", at positions 524 to 776 of the family's 1533-position model. The record is from RNAcentral.